Molecule: small RNA, 117 nt
Filed under: Marmota monax (woodchuck)
Lineage: Eukaryota; Metazoa; Chordata; Mammalia; Rodentia; Sciuridae
Source: RNAcentral
GCCAGGGGCAGUAAGGUGUGCCUGUAGUCCCAGCUACUCUGGAGGCUGAGAUAGGAGGGCUGCUUGAACCCAAGAGUUCAGAGCAAGGGUAGGCAACAAAGUGAGAUCCCAUCUCAU